Molecule: ribosomal RNA, 253 nt
Filed under: uncultured bacterium
Lineage: Bacteria
Description: partial 16S ribosomal RNA
Rfam family: Bacterial small subunit ribosomal RNA
Source: RNAcentral
UACGGGGGGGGCAAGCGUUGUUCGGAAUUACUGGGCGUAAAGGGCUCGUAGGCGGCCAACUAAGUCCGACGUGAAAUCCCAAGGCUUAACCUUGGAACUGCGUCGGAUACUGGAUGGCUUGAAUUCGGGAGAGGGAUGCAGAAUUCCAGGUGUAGCGGUGAAAUGCGUAGAUAUCGUGAGGAACACCAGAGGCGAAGGCGGCUACCUGGACAAUUGCUGACGCUCAGGCACGAAAGCGUGGGGAGCAAAAGGG